This 1125-nucleotide ribosomal RNA is filed under the name uncultured bacterium. Its description in RNAcentral is "bacterial SSU rRNA". It matches the Rfam family "Bacterial small subunit ribosomal RNA", at positions 276 to 1395 of the family's 1533-position model. The record is from RNAcentral.
ACGAUCUGUAGCUGGUCUGAGAGGACGACCAGCCACACUGGAACUGAGACACGGUCCAGACUCCUACGGGAGGCAGCAGUGGGGAAUUUUGGACAAUGGGCGAAAGCCUGAUCCAGCAAUGCCGCGUGCAGGAUGAAGGCCUUAGGGUUGUAAACUGCUUUUGUACGGAACGAAACGGCUCCUCUUAAUACGGGGGGCUAAUGACGGUACCGUAAGAAUAAGCACCGGCUAACUACGUGCCAGCAGCCGCGGUAAUACGUAGGGUGCGAGCGUUAAUCGGAAUUACUGGGCGUAAAGCGUGCGCAGGCGGUUAUAUAAGACAGAUGUGAAAUCCCCGGGCUCAACCUGGGACCUGCAUUUGUGACUGUAUAGCUAGGGUACGGUAGAGGGGGAUGGAAUUCCGCGUGCAGCAGUGAAAUGCGUAGAUAUGCGGAGGAACACCGAUGGCGAGGGCAAUCCCCUGGACCUGUACUGACGCUCAUGCACGAAAGCGUGGGGAGCAAAAAGGACUAGAUCCCCUGGUAGUCCACGCCCUAAACCUUUAAAAGUGGUUGUUGGGUCUUCACUGACUCAGUAACGAAGUAAACGCGUGAAGUUGACCGCCUGGGGAGUACGGCCGCAAGGUUGAAACUCAAAGGAAAUGACGGGGACCCGCACAAGCGGUGGAUGAUGUGGUUUAAUUCGAUGCAACGCGAAAAACCUUACCCACCUCUGACAUGUACGGAACUCGCCAGAGAUGGCUUGGUGCUCGAAAGAGGGCCGUAACACAGGUGCUGCAUGGCUGUCGUCAGCUCGUGUCGUGAGAUGUUGGGUUAAGUCCCGCAACGAGCGCAACCCUCGUCAUUAGUUGCUACAUUCAGUUGGGCACUCUAAUGAGACUGCCGGUGACAAGCCGGAGGAAGGUGGGGAUGACGUCAAGUCCUCAUGGCCCUUAUAGGUGGGGCUACACACGUCAUACAAUGGCUGGUACAAAGGGUUGCCAACCCGCGAGGGGGAGCUAAUCCCACAAAGCCAGUCGUAGUCCGGAUCGUAGUCUGCAACUCGACUACGUGAAGUCGGAAUCGCUAGUAAUCGUGGAUCAGAAUGUCACGGUGAAAAAGUUCCCGGGUCUUGUACUCACCGCCC